UGCCAGCAGCCGCGGUAAUACGGAGAGGGCAAGCGUUAUUCGGAUUUAUUGGGCGUAAAGGGCGUGUAGGCGGCCUGAAAGGUCAAAGGUGAAAUCCCCGGGCUCAACCUGGGAACUGCCUUUGAAACCAUCUGGCUAGAGUUCGGGAGAGGGUAGUGGAAUUCCUAGUGUAGCGGUGAAAUGCGUAGAUAUUAGGAGGAACACCAGUGGCGAAGGCGACUACCUGGACCGAUACUGACGCUGAGGCGCGAAAGCGUGGGGAGCAAACAGGAUUAGAUA
This 279-nucleotide ribosomal RNA is filed under the name uncultured bacterium. RNAcentral describes it as "partial 16S ribosomal RNA". It matches the Rfam family "Bacterial small subunit ribosomal RNA", at positions 506 to 784 of the family's 1533-position model. The record is from RNAcentral.